AGUGUAUUUUCAAACAGAGCCUCAUCCACUGUCAGCAGUUAAAAAUAGUCGUAUUAGGUCAGUGAGAAGGCUCACCAGGCAAAAGCACUUUGCUUCUAAGCCCAAUGACCUGAGUUCAAUCCCUGUGACCCACACGGUGGAAGAAGAAAGCCAACUCCUAUUGGUUGUCCUCUGACUUUUACAGAUAAUACAAUGCUCAAAUCUUGAGCAUAAUCAUCAGCCAAACCAGGAUGAGGCAGGAAGCAUUGUCAUUAUCUCCAAACUUCCUGUGUGGCCUUUCUGAUCAAUACAACUCUCUCCCAAGAGGAGACACUAAGAUGGCUAAUUCUCAAAGAAGUGACUUUGAAUUCUGGCAUCUCCAACAAGGAACAACAGAUUUCCGGAGAAACGAUGGACAAAGAAAAGUGCUGAGUCUCCAGGGGCAGCAACGUGUGAGAAGAAAAAGGCAUGGCAAAAAGGAAAGGCUGGAUAAUGACAAUUUCUAGAUGCCAUCUUCAGUCUCAUAAGGUCUACAGGACUCUUCAGUGGUUACUCUUUGCUGUCCCACAACCUUUCUUGGUCCCCAGCUGCUCUUUGGGACAUUGGUAGAACCUAUGGAAGGUAAAGCCUUCUUGGAAGAAGUAGGUCACUAGGGGAAGGCCUUGAGAUUUAGAGCUUGUCUUUACUCCCUCUUUACUAUUGGCUUCCUGACUGCAGAUGUGAUGUGACUAGCCAUUCUUCCUCUUUCUGCCAUGCUUUUCUCACCAUGAUGGAUUGUAUCCUCUCAAACUAAGCAAAAAGAAACCCUUCCUUCCUCCAGUUACUUCUUUCCAGGUGUUUUGACAGAGAAGCAAGAAGAGUGACUGAUAUAACGGUUGGAAUAGAUGGGCACUGUUGGAUUGUUUGGGUGUGCGUGAUAGGCAACAGGAGAUCUAGUGAAACUUCACUCACAUGUGUAAAUAAUGAUGGGGAAGAAUUAUAUCAUACUACAAAACUA
Peromyscus eremicus (cactus mouse) is the source of this 976-nucleotide long non-coding RNA. RefSeq lists it as uncharacterized. NCBI's taxonomy places the organism in Eukaryota, Metazoa, Chordata, Mammalia, Rodentia, Cricetidae. The transcript is spliced from 3 exons. The record is from RefSeq and is a predicted model, not a curated record.